RNAcentral lists this long non-coding RNA (1702 nucleotides) under Sus scrofa (pig). RNAcentral describes it as "lncRNA (ENSSSCG00030028189.1)". Lineage: Eukaryota; Metazoa; Chordata; Mammalia; Artiodactyla; Suidae. The record is from RNAcentral.
GAAUCCUACUGAUAAUUUGUACUAAAAUGGAAUAAUUUGUUUUAAUUUAAAUGUAGAAAAGGUAUAAUAUAAAAUAUAUGUAUUAUUAUGUCACUAUAUAUAUAUAUAUAUAUAUAUAUGUUUUUUUUUGUUUUGGGUUUUUUUUUUUGCCUUUUCUAGGCUGCUCCCACAGCAUAUGGAGAUUCCCAGGCUAGGGGUUGAAUCGGAGCUGUAGCCACCGGCCUACGCCAGAGCCACAGCUACGCAGGAUCCGAGCCAGUCUGCAACGUACUCCACAGCUCAUGGCAACGCUGGAUCCUUAACCCACUGAGCAAGGCCAGGGAUCAAACCCACAACCUCAUGGUUCCUAAUUGGAUUCGUUAACCACUGAGCCACGACGGGAAUUCCUAUAUCACAUAAUAUAUUGCAUAAUUAUAGUAAAUAUGGUUUUAAGUGUAAUAUAAUUUUUUAUGAUGUAUGUAAGACUGAAAAGAAACAACCCAAAUGUUUAUGAUUUACUAUUGACUACCUGUUGUUCUAUAUCUUCCCAGUAUCAUAAAACAAUAGAUAGUAAUUACUUCUAUAAUGAGGAAAGAAUACAAUGCAGACUACAUGAAAAUGACUUCUGUUCUUCUUAGUGCUCUGUGGAGACCAGAGCUGAGGAUGUCUCUUCUCCAGGUCGGACCUGGACUGUCUGGUUUCCAGACCCAAUUCAGAAAACACCACGCUUCAACAAAGUCUAAAGCUCGUAAUGAAGAAGCUAUAGAUCUGGGAUCUGAGAAGGAUGAACCCACGACCUUCAGGGAAGUGGCCAGGAAGCCGCGAGUUUAAGGGAACCAAACAGGUACCCACGUCUUGUCCUAGUUGCUCCUGGGGGCUGUCGGGGCCUCCUUGGGUUUUGUCUUCUGUCACUAGAAGUGUUCAAAGAUAAAGUAAUGCAUAUUUAAACUUUUAAGAGUUUUUUGGGGGCAAAAGUUCGCUUGACUCGAGUAGCGUCUACUCUAAGAGAUGGAAAGGGGCUCCGGGGAGCUGUGCAGAUGAACGUCUUUUGUAAGCAGACAUGAGGGGGAGUAAGGAGAUUAAUAAGGCAAAAGAGUGGGUUAUUGGUUAUUGCAAAGUUAGUUUCCUUUAGCCGGUGGCAGGGGUCUAUCAGGGGAAUGACCUGACACGUGCUGUUCCGCUGAUUCCUGAUUGGUUUAAAAUUCCGCUUCUGAGGGAGUUAAAACUGUAAGGAAAUGAAGUCUUGGUUUGGUGAUGUAGAGCAUGGCAUAAACAACUCCAUUUUGGGCCUAUUGUCUCGAUUUUAAUCCUUCCUUUUUCCUUUCUUCCUUCCGCCUCUCCUUUCUUCAACAACUAUUGAGUUAGUAUCAGGCAUUCAUGAGCAAAACAAAGCAGAUGUGAUUUCUAAUCUUCUAAUCUAAUGUGCUCAAUUAGUUGUAAUACACUGAUAGGAAAGUAAUCAUUUAUUUGGGUGCCCAGAAGGGUACAUAGUAUAGCCAGGUGGAGGGGAGACUGGAGAUGAGAGAUCAGAGCUUUCCCCCAGGGAGUGACUUCUAAGCUGAAACCUAAAGCAUUGACAAGAGUAAACCAGAUUGGGGGUGAGAGUGGGGCUUGGGGAAAUUCCAAGAAGGAAGGGCCUGAGAUGAAAUAGAAAUUCAGUGUGGGGAACAUCCAUUGUGUGCUGUGAAAUAAAUUAAGAUAAACGAGCCUAGAGAGGUAGAAG